CCCUCCUCUUGGCUUAGUUGCAUUGAACGUUCUUAGGUAUUUAAGAGAUGUUUUGUUUGCUGCACUAAGAAAAUGUACUCCAGAAUUACAAGCAGGAGUAAAAUGUACGUAGCAGUAGAAAACUAACUCAUUAUGAAACUGCAUUUUACUAUCAUGUGACAAUGUUGAAAUUUCUUGAACAUCUUGAUGUCUAAUGUGAUGGCAGGUGAUUGAUUUUGGCUACAAGUACAUCACUGAAAACUCCUGAAGUCUACUAUAACUUUGUCUAAUGUGAUGACAGGUGAUUGAUUUUGGCUACAAGUACAUCACUGAAAACUCCUGGAGUCUACUGUAACUUUGUCUAAUGUGAUGACAGGUGAUUGAUUUUGGCUGCAAGUACAUCACUGAAAACUCCUGAAGUCUACUAUAACUUUGUCUAAUGUGAUGGCAGGUGAUUGAUUUUGGCUACAAGUACAUCAUUGAAAACUCCUGGAGUCUACUGUAACUUUGUCUAAUGUGAUGGCAGGUGAUUGAUUUUGGCUACAAGUACAUCACUGAAAACUCCUGAAGUCUACUGUAACUUUGUCUAAUGUGAUGGCAGGUGAUUGAUUUUGGCUGCAAGUACAUCGCUGAAAACUCCUGAAGUCUACUGUAACUGUCUAAUGUGAUGACAGGUGCCUGAUUUUGGCUACAAGUACAUCACUGAAAACUCCUGGAGUCUACUGUAACUUUGUCUAAUGUGAUGGCAGGUGAUUGAUUUUGGCUACAAGUACAUCACUGAAAACUCCUGAAGUCUACUGUAACUUUGUCUAAUGUGAUGGCAGGGGACAGAUUUUGGCUGCAAGUACAUCACUGAAUCUACAACUUUCCUCUGAGUGGUGACCAACUCUGUAUCCUUGGCAGGU
Molecule: long non-coding RNA, 884 nt
Organism: Eriocheir sinensis (Chinese mitten crab)
Lineage: Eukaryota; Metazoa; Arthropoda; Malacostraca; Decapoda; Varunidae
Exons: 6
Source: RefSeq, a predicted model, not a curated record